Molecule: ribosomal RNA, 423 nt
Filed under: uncultured Bacteroides sp.
Lineage: Bacteria; Pseudomonadati; Bacteroidota; Bacteroidia; Bacteroidales; Bacteroidaceae
Description: partial 16S ribosomal RNA
Rfam family: Bacterial small subunit ribosomal RNA
Source: RNAcentral
UGAGGAAUAUUGGUCAAUGGGCGCGAGCCUGAACCAGCCAAGUAGCGUGAAGGAUGAAGGCUCUAUGGGUCGUAAACUUCUUUUAUAGGGGAAUAAAGUGAGCCACGUGUGGCUUUUUGUAUGUACCCUAUGAAUAAGGAUCGGCUAACUCCGUGCCAGCAGCCGCGGUAAUACGGAGGAUCCGAGCGUUAUCCGGAUUUAUUGGGUUUAAAGGGAGCGUAGGUGGAAAUCUAAGUCAGUUGUGAAAGUUUGCGGCUCAACCGUAAAAUUGCAGUUGAUACUGGGUUUCUUGAGUACAGUAGAGGUGGGCGGAAUUCGUGGUGUAGCGGUGAAAUGCUUAGAUAUCACGAAGAACUCCAAUUGCGAAGGCAGCUCACUAGACUGGUCACUGACACUGAGGCUCGAAAGUGUGGGUAUCAAACA